Passer domesticus (house sparrow) is the source of this 2036-nucleotide long non-coding RNA. RefSeq lists it as uncharacterized. The record is from RefSeq and is a predicted model, not a curated record. Lineage: Eukaryota; Metazoa; Chordata; Aves; Passeriformes; Passeridae. The transcript has 2 exons.
GCCUUCUUUGCCUUCUCUCUUUGCUUUUUGACUCUGUGCUGAUCUAAACUCUGUAGCAAACUGCCAGAGAAAUUCCUGCACCUGUCCCAAAACCCACAGUGGUGGUCAUGACAUUUCCAUGAUCAUACACUGGGCAGAGCAUGCUGGGGCAAAGGGAUGUCCUGACCUGUUUUCCAAGACUGAGCUGCUGGUAAUUAAGCAACAGAUGAUGUGCCUCAGGCUUUGAUCACCCAUUAAUGACAAUCAUGUGGGUCAGCUGGAACAGAAGCUGAAAUGUUUGAAAUUAAAUGAGCUGAAAGGCUCUUUAGGAGCUUUUUCAGGAAAGGGGAUAUAGUGACUGCAGAGGUGGGCAUUAUGCUGAAUGAUUUAACAGAAGGAUUGGACCUGUGUGGUGGGAAAAAUGUCUUCGUUGCCUCAGAAGCAUCUCAGUCUCAUGAAGGAAUGGCAACACAUAAAUAGCUCUUGAAGAUGAAGAGGAGGGAAACACCCUGAUGUGAUGGCUGUCAUUGCUGCCCUGGGGGGACUUGCAGACUUCUGGCAUGGGGGCAAUAGGAUGCAGCUGCCCUGGACUGAGCUGAGCUGGAGCUGCUGAGGCCCUGCAUUGCCGUGGAGGACGACAUUCAUUUGUGUGCUCUUCAAGCUCCUGUUGUUGAUUUUAGCUGCUGGUACUGCAGAAGUGGUUCCAGCCUACUUUGGAGUCAUAUUCCGUAGCCAGCUCUGACUGUAAUGCAUUAGAUGUGCAAUAGGAACACUGGUUUAAAAACAAACAAACAGAACCCCUGCCAAUAAGUGUUCUUUGGUCCAGGUACUCUAAAUUGUUAAAAAUCUAAUUGAUUAUACAGGACUGGAAUGACAUCUGGGGAUGAUUCCCUUUCCUCUCUUAUGUAAUGUACGAGUGUGUCAGCUUCAUCAAAUGUGGAUGCGCCAGCUAUUCGUGUGUCAGAAAUACUGAGAAAGCCUGGGAAUAAAGAGAGUAAGUGAUGUACAUGUUAAGCUUGCCUGGAAAUCAUAGUAUGUUUCUUUAAAUAUGGUCAAUAAAGGGAUUUAUCCUCACUGUUAAGAUACUUAAGUGCACCCAGAGAAAUGUCUGACAGUCUAUAGGACCCUUAUCAGUAAAUGAGACCUGGGAACUUAAAUACCCUAAGAUGUCUUGAUGGCUUCUCAUAUUUUUCUCAUAAACUGCUACAGCAAAAAUAAUUUUGGAAGGUCUUGGAGACUCUUACACAUGCUCUUUGGUUUCAUUUUUUGGAGCCAUAAUUACUACUUUGGCCUGCACUCCUGCUUACGCAGUUUUCUGUGUGAAGUCACAACCUAGCUCUGGAAUGGGCUGGAACUCAUUAAAUCCGAGCAGGAUGUUCAGUUCUGUAGAUUUCAUUUGAAAAUCAGUUGGUGAUUCUCAUAUAUUAUUACAAAUUUACAGCUGUCCCUGGUUGAUAAUUAUAUUUUAAGUCUGUCCCUCAGAUUAAUCUGAGUGCAUACUUUAAAAAGUUCUGCCAUGGCUUUGGUUUAAAUAAAUUACUUACAGGAAUGACAUGUUUGUUACUAAUCCUCCAGCUUCUGAUAGCCAAAUUCCGUAAUUCUCUUCCAGACUGGUAAUUCUUUCUUAUGCAAGCAGACCUACUGACUUCACAUUUUUUUUGCCCAGUUUGGACCACCACUUAAGCAAAUGGUUAAUUGUAAACAUGUGUUUAGGUCCUAUUGACUUCUGUGAGGCUUAAGUGCUGUCUUGAAUAGGCAUUCUUAUCCAAAUUGGAGCCAGAAAAUUAAAUUUGUCCCCCUGCAUAAAAGAUCAAUUCAUCUGUUAUGCCUCCAAUAGAAAGCUAAAAGUUCUUUUGGAUUAAGACAGGAUAUACACUUAAAGUGUAAUAAAUGUUUCUGAAGACCAUGUAAACUCCUAGUAAAUAGUAAACUCCUAUUCUAGAAGGAGCAUUUGCAUUCAGAGAUGUUAAGGGAUAGCUAUUUUUGAUGCUCUCUGUAUGGAUACAAAAUGCAUCUUAACUAUAUGUGGAAGAUAAUAUUUUGAUUUAUGUCAUUAU